GCCAGCCUGGUGUAGAGGUUAGAGCACUGGACUAUGACUCUGGAGACCAGGGUUCGAAUCCCAGUUCAGCCA
This is a non-coding RNA of Phrynosoma platyrhinos (Desert horned lizard), 72 nucleotides long. The record is from the annotation of a GenBank genome assembly. Lineage: Eukaryota; Metazoa; Chordata; Lepidosauria; Squamata; Phrynosomatidae.